UCACUGGUCGAGUCGGCCUGCGCGGAAGAUGUAACGGGGCUAAACCAUGCACCGAAGCUGCGGCAGCGACACUAUGUGUUGUUGGGUAGGGGAGCGUUCUGUAAGCCUGUGAAGGUGUACUGUGAGGCAUGCUGGAGGUAUCAGAAGUGCGAAUGCUGACAUAAGUAACGAUAAAGCGGGUGAAAAGCCCGCUCGCCGGAAGACCAAGGGUUCCUGUCCAACGUUAAUCGGGGCAGGGUGAGUCGA
RNAcentral lists this ribosomal RNA (246 nucleotides) under Escherichia coli. RNAcentral's name for it is "partial 23S ribosomal RNA". It matches the Rfam family "Bacterial large subunit ribosomal RNA", at positions 1142 to 1387 of the family's 2925-position model. Lineage: Bacteria; Pseudomonadati; Pseudomonadota; Gammaproteobacteria; Enterobacterales; Enterobacteriaceae. The record is from RNAcentral.